GAUGAACGCUGGCGGCGUGCCUAACACAUGCAAGUCGAACGGAGUCCAGCCUUUAAGACCUUCGGGUCAAAGAGGGGAAGACUGAGUGGCGGACGGGUGAGUAACACGUGGGCAACCUGGCUCAUAGAGGGGGAUAACAGAGAGAAAUUUCUGCUAAUACCGCAUAAGCACACACUGCCGCAUGGCAGAGGGUGAAAAGAGAAUCGCUAUGAGAUGGACCCGCGUCUGAUUAGCCAGUUGGCAGGGUAAGAGCCUACCAAAGCGACGAUCAGUAGCCGAUCUGAGAGGAUGAACGGCCACAUUGGGACUGAGACACGGCCCAAACUCCUACGGGAGGCAGCAGUGGGGGAUAUUGCACAAUGGGGGGAACCCAGAUGCAGCGACGCCGCGUGAGUGAAGAAGUAUUUCGGUAUGUAAAGCUCUAUCAGCAGGGAAGAUAAUGACAGUACCUGAAUAAGAAGCCCCGGCUAACUACGUG
This 478-nucleotide ribosomal RNA is filed under the name uncultured bacterium. Its description in RNAcentral is "partial 16S ribosomal RNA". It matches the Rfam family "Bacterial small subunit ribosomal RNA", at positions 28 to 507 of the family's 1533-position model. The record is from RNAcentral.